This 722-nucleotide ribosomal RNA is filed under the name Shigella dysenteriae. RNAcentral describes it as "bacterial LSU rRNA". It matches the Rfam family "Bacterial large subunit ribosomal RNA", at positions 529 to 1251 of the family's 2925-position model. The record is from RNAcentral. Lineage: Bacteria; Pseudomonadati; Pseudomonadota; Gammaproteobacteria; Enterobacterales; Enterobacteriaceae.
GCGAGGGGAGUGAAAAAGAACCUGAAACCGUGUACGUACAAGCAGUGGGAGCACGCUUCGGCGUGUGACUGCGUACCUUUUGUAUAAUGGGUCAGCGACUUAUAUUCUGUAGCAAGGUUAACCGAAUAGGGGAGCCGAAGGGAAACCGAGUCUUAACUGGGCGUUAAGUUGCAGGGGAUAGACCCGAAACCCGGUGAUCUAGCCAUGGGCAGGUUGAAGGUUGGGUAACACUAACUGGAGGACCGAACCGACUAAUGUUGAAAAAUUAGCGGAUGACUUGUGGCUGGGGGUGAAAGGCCAAUCAAACCGGGAGAUAGCUGGUUCUCCCCGAAAGCUAUUUAGGUAGCGCCUCGUGAAUUCAUCUCCGGGGGUAGAGCACUGUUUCGGCAAGGGGGUCAUCCCGACUUACCAACCCGAUGCAAACUGCGAAUACCGGAGAAUGUUAUCACGGGAGACACACGGCGGGGGCUAACGUCCGUCGUGAAGAGGGAAACAACCCAGACCGCCAGCUAAGGUCCCAAAGUCAUGGUUAAGUGGGAAACGAUGUGGGAAGGCCCAGACAGCCAGGAUGUUGGCUUAGAAGCAGCCAUCAUUUAAAGAAAGCGUAAUAGCUCACUGGUCGAGUCGGCCUGCGCGGAAGAUGUAACGGGGCUAAACCAUGCACCGAAGCUGCGGCAGCGACGCUUAUGCGUUGUUGGGUAGGGGAGCGUUCUGUAAGCCUG